GGAUGAAAUGGGGGGAAACCCCUGACGCAGCGACGCCGUGUGAGGGAAGAAGGCUUUCGGGUCGUAAACCUCUGUCGGGAAGGAAGAACCCCUCGGGUCCCAAUAGGGCUCGAGGCUGACGGUACUUCCAAAGGAAGCACCGGCUAACUCCGUGCCAGCAGCCGCGGUAAUACGGAGGGUGCAAGCGUUAAUCGGAAUCACUGGGCGUAAAGCGCGCGUAGGCGGCCUUUUAAGUCGGACGUGAAAGCCCUCGGCUCAACCGGGGAAUUGCGUUCGAUACUGGGAGGCUUGAGUCCUGGAGAGGGUGGCGGAAUUCCGGGUGUAGGAGUGAAAUCCGUAGAUAUCCGGAGGAACACCGGUGGCGAAGGCGGCCACCUGGACAGGUACUGACGCUGAGGCGCG
RNAcentral lists this ribosomal RNA (402 nucleotides) under uncultured bacterium. RNAcentral's name for it is "bacterial SSU rRNA". It matches the Rfam family "Bacterial small subunit ribosomal RNA", at positions 359 to 755 of the family's 1533-position model. The record is from RNAcentral.